CAAAUUAAAGCUUAAAUAAAAGUAUUUCAUUUACAUUGAAAAGAUAUUAAAUUAAUUAAUUAAUUUGAG
This 69-nucleotide transfer RNA is filed under the name Laelia suffusa. RNAcentral describes it as "tRNA-Val". Lineage: Eukaryota; Metazoa; Arthropoda; Insecta; Lepidoptera; Erebidae. RNAcentral also lists the same sequence under 1 other name. The record is from RNAcentral.